Long non-coding RNA from Equus caballus (horse), 5048 nucleotides. The record is from Ensembl. NCBI's taxonomy places the organism in Eukaryota, Metazoa, Chordata, Mammalia, Perissodactyla, Equidae.
CACUGUUUCACAUCCCCACUCCGCAGCCCCCCCUCUGGAUUCUCUUGAUAGGAAUAAGUGCCCGAUCAUUAGGGAAGAAAAACUUUAUUGACUCAAGAUCUGGGAGGGCCGGCGCAAGGUCAGGAGCAAGUACCACCAGUUUUACAUAAUUUUUGCAUCUGCACCAAUUUGAUUUAAGGCUAUAAGUGGAAUUUAUUGGAGUUGGAAACCUUUCAAAAACAGUCCACAUGGCUUGUCCCCAUGCACCUGGCAUGCCUCAGGAGUGGAGAGAACGGAUGCCCACUAUGCUUUGAGCAAGAUGACAACUGAAAGUAACUUAAAGUUCCAUGAAACUCCUCCAGGUUCCUUUUUAGAAGGCAAAUUGGGCAGUAUUUUUUCCUAUACCAAUCCUGCCAUUUUUCCCCCAGAAAUUUAAAAAUCCUGGUUGCUAGAUCUGAAGAACUGCUUGUACCAUUCCGAGAGUCAAUGACACACUCUCCAAGCUGACAGGAACGUCGGCGUCUCCUCUGAGACUACAGCCAGGCUUCCAGAUUCUCUCUCAGUUCUCCGUUAAUGUUUUCUUUGUCACGGCUGUAAUUUGUCUAAAGUCCAAGAGGACACUGAAAACAGAAAACUCACUUCUCAAUCGAUUGAUGCUGUCAAAGAGUUGAAGGCUCAUGACCAGAUGUGUCCCUAGGAGCUGCCUGAGACUUGGGAGAAAAGAAUGCUGCCAAUCGCCAGAGGCAGACAUGUUUAUCAAGCUGUGCAUCUUGAAGUCUGACAUAAAAUCUGUGGCCUUUGGUACAGCUGAAAAACACUCUGUCAACACCAUGGAGAGAGCAAGCCCGUGGCGCUGGCCUCGACCCAAGGAGUGCAGGGGAAUGGAUGAAAACUUGACUCGAGGCCAAAAAUUACAAGAUGAGGGAAAGUCAAACUUGAGGCGAGCAAACCUUUUCCAUCGGGUCUGUUUAAUAUCUCGUGUAAGCAUCCAAACCACAAAUCGGUCAGUGCUUAGGUGAAAAGACAAGUUUUUCUCCCUUUUGGAAAGCUAUUUUGCUUAAGCUCCUAUGAAUACAUCAAUUAUAUUAGCCCUGAAAGUGUCUGUCAGUGCAAUGUUAAAAGGUCCACUAUUUUACAGACUGCCCACUUCAGAAACAAAAUACCCUUCAAACUCUCUGCCCUGAAUCGCUUGGGCCAAAAAGAGCUCCAGAGAAAAAGAGUGUAAACUCUGCCGGAUUGAGAGAGGGAAGAGCCACUGGUUUUAAGUAAACUUGUAUAAUAUUUGCCAGCUUAAUAAAAUCCCCCCAGCACUUGUGUGCCUUCAAAUUCUUCAACAACUCAAGGAAAAUGCUCUUUAGUGACAGAAGAUGGGAGGCCAAAGAGAAGGUUGCCAGAGACUCCCACCAGCCCCGUUGUGCUUGGAAGUUUGGGGAGCCGAGCUCAGUGAGAGGAGAGCCCUGCCACAGAAGUGCUCUGUCUGAGCUUUUCCUUCAGGGCAGGUCUCUAGAUUCUCAGAUAAGACUACAACAUCCGGGCACCACACCAAAUCAGGAUUGUGUCAAGAGAAGCAAACUAAGGUUAGAGACAGUCUACAGGCCUUUGCCUAUAGAUGGAAAAAAAAUACUAAUGACAGUUCAUAACUGUGCAGCUUCCAGUGGACUUUAUUAUUACCUGGUACUCAUCAGUCAAUUGCUGUCACCCUUGGCUAAACUUCCAGAAGUGGAGCAACCUCAAAGCUGUCGUUUUCAUACAUCAUGUGUUCUUUCCAGAGUCCCUCUACCCCUGCCUCUUCCAGUCACAUCUGUCCCCAAUCUUUGCCACCCUCUGUUGCUUACAUUGGCCAACCCGCCCGAAACGGGAGAGUUUGAAUUCUUCAUGCUAUGUGCAUAGCCAACAUUCCACAAGAUUUAUGUCACGAAAGUCUGUGAAAAUGACAAAUGGUGGGAAAGAGGACCAAAAGGGGAAGCAAAAAUAAAUCCAACUAUGAUUUAACCAAAGAUGGCCCAGUACCUGUCCCUAGUGGGUCCUGUGAUUUCUUAGGGGGCACGGAUUCAACAAGAGAGAAAGAAAACACUAUAUGAGUAUCUUCAUAAUGUUCCUGUUUUCAAUUCAAAAUCUCUUUGGAAAAAUUUACUUUUUAACCUUAAGUCAUAAUCCAAAUGCGUCAAAAUAGUAACCAAAUAUCUAGAUUGAUUGGGUGGAUGCCUGGGCAUGGGGAGGGGCGAUUAUUUUCUAAGAUACUUACAUCUAUUCUUUAAAAAGUAAGCAGAGAUGUAGAAGGGGUUCUGGUUGCCUGGGGUAACUACAGUCACGCUAGGAGAGCCCCCCACAGGAGGGAUGAGGAUGGCCACACUGUUGGGCGCCCUUCCAUAAAGUAGUCCUUUUGUCCCCAUCACCAUUAGUGAGCUUACUGCAACCUUUACCCUAUCAAAGGUCACCAACUUCAGUGGACUAUGGCCCACCCAGAUGAAUGGAAUACCACCCCGAUACUAACAAUUAUGCUUACGAAGGGCUUUUAACAACAUAUAGAGAUGCCUCUGAUCUAACACUAAAGGAGUAAAAGGAAGAUGGACAAGUGCAUUUGCAGUAUAAUCACCACCAUGGAAACAAUCUGUAUAUGAGGACAGCAGCACCCAAAACUCUGACCGGUGGUUAUCCACAGAUGGGGGGCGGGGUUAUACCUAGAUGACUUUUAUUAUUUUCUAUAGUUUGUACUGUCUAGGUGCUCUAUAACAAGCAGGAAUUCAUUUAUAAUUAAAGAUAAGCAUUUUAAAAUAGAAUAAAAUCCCUAAAAGGCAUCACCUACUUCUUUCCAACACCAGAUUCAUGGCUUGGGGUCUAGGACUCUCCUUUUCAAAGGUAGAAUGACACUGUCAAAAAUAAAUUUCCAUUCCUGCCCUGUGGUGUAGCAAUUAAGUUCACACGCACCCCUUUGGCAGCCUGGGGUUCAGAGGUUCAGAUCCUGGGUGCGGACCUACGCACUGCUUAUCAAGUCAUGCUGAGGCAGGUGUCCCACAUAUAAAGCAGAGGAAGAUGGGGACGGAUGUUAGCUCAGGGCUAAUGUUCCUCAAAAAAAAUAAAAUAAUAAUAUAUAUAUAUAUUUCCAUUUUAGAAACUAUUUUCUUCAGUUUUUUCUCUGAUACUUAAAAGUUCUGUUGACCUUAACAGAAAUGUGGGAGGAAAACUGCUCUUGACUUUGCACAUGCUAGAUUUUCCAAAGCUGGAACUCUCUAGAACUGCAUUGCCCAGUACAGUAGUCGCCACCACACGUAGCUCCUGAGCACUUGAGAGGUGAAUUGAGAUGUUUAGAGAGCAUAAAGUACCCACCAGAUACUGAAGACAUAGGGGAAAAAAAGAGAGCGUGUAAAAUAUCUCAUCUAUAACUUUAUACUGAUUACAUGUUGAAAGGAUAUUUGGGAGAUAUUGGGUUAAAUAAAAAAUAGUAAAAUAAUUUCACCUGUUUCCUUUUAUCUUUUUAAAAUGCGGCCUCUAGAAAAUGUAAAAUUACCUAUGUAGCUCACAUUAUAUUUCUAUUGGACCGAAAUGAUCUAGAAAAAAAUUCUGCAGAAGGGUGAUUCAAUUACCCAUCUACCAUCUUUUAGAAAGAUAAAGGAUUCCUAAUAUGCUUGCUCAAGCCGUAUCUACGGCCCCCAUAAAAUGUAUUCGGCCCCUCUUCUAAGUUGUAUUACACUUUCAGUGGUCAGGUAACUUCAGUUAGUUCCAAGCAUGGGUGAAUUGAGGCCACUUCAGGGGCAACAGCACACACCAGCUGCACCUAAAGGUCAUCUUGCCUUUUUUAGACUCACACGGCCCACGUAUCUCAGAAUUCUCUGACUCCCCAACACCAGCAAUGGCCAGCCUCUGUUCCCAUGGAUUCACUCACACAUCUGUAUAACACCUCAUUCAAAGAGUGCAGUCCCCAUUUGGGACAGCCUGAAAUAUUGUCAGGUCCCAAAAGGUCAUGCCAAAGGGACUUCCUCCAUGUCGUUCUAGGUCAUCUCUCCAAGUACCGCUGGCGUGAGGAGACUGAAAAUGAUUGCUCUUCAAAAGGGCAGGGAAAAUGUGAAAGGAAGGAUUACAUCUGCCUGAACUGCCAAACCAAACUCGGAGGAGCAGGUCCUCCAGAGAGUGACUCAGAUCCACAUGAUGUUUUCCAGGGACGGUGCUUUCACAGGAGGGGGAGGUGGGCAUUCGGCUUUCUGGCCAAAGGCUACUCCAACUUUAACAGCCAGCCCAUCCCACAGCAAAGGUGUACACCUCGGCUCCCUUUUUCUCCCUGCUCAGAGCUGCAUUCUCUUUCUGCAGCGGUCAUUAGAAUAAAGAAAACCCUGGUAAUGAACAUGAGGAGCAGAGGACAGACCACCCCUGCAAUGCAGUGGGGCAAGGGGAUGACGAAAAGAAAAGAGACAAGAAAAGAAACAAGCAGCAAACAGUCCCCCGUCAGCCAGAAGCAACGAGUUAAGCUCUUCCAUGACGGACUCUCUCAGAAAAGGCACAUCUGUGAUGGCCACCUUCCUUGUGGGACAGGAGAAGGAAAGAGCUGAACUCUGAAUUUUCCACUCACAAUAGCCUUCUCCUUUUAGUUUCUACUGUUAUCUAAAAGGAAAAAGGAGAGAAAGAAAGAAGAGACUGGCUCUUGAAUGGGGGGUGCCCUCAGCUACCACAGGAGGUCCCCUGCUUCUGAGGCUCAGAUGCAGGUAGAGACCCAGGAGGCCACACACCUGCGGUGACUAUGUCAGGACUCACCAGGCUGAACUGAGUUAACAACUCCAGAUAAUCCCCUCAAAGUUGACUAACACACAGCUCUAGUCCAGCAGUUUUCAUAUUUUAAAACAACUUUCCAGAGUUCUCUUUAAUCAACCUCAGCAGAUCCAAUGUCUUCAUAAAACUAAAGUCCCUUUCAUUACAGCGAAGUAGCUUCAAUUCAAAUUUUCCUCCAGGGAUCAGAAUCCAGAAUCCUGGUGCUGCGUGUGCCAUGCUACUGAGCCGUCCUCAUUUUUCCCUCUGAAAUUUUUUGGCACAACUUACAAAUGAAAACGUUGAAGAAAAUGAAACUAUAAACAUAAAAA